UGAUGUCAGUGGCCCGACAGGGAAGCGUUGCAUGUUUGCACACAUGAUGGGUGAGGCUAAUGUCAGCCUGCUGACUGCCAACAUCUUCAGAUGUGGAUCAGAUGCAGAGCGCUCCAACAGCAUCUAUAAUGCAUCACAUCUGUUUUCCUCAUGCCAAGCACACUUCUCGGAGCUGGAACACUCGCCGUGUUUGACUGUGACAUGAGACCAGAGAUGAGAAGUGUUUGCUUUCUCGAGAUCAUAAGAUGAGUGCUUCCUUCAUCAUGACAAGAGGAGAAGAGAUGCUCCCAUCUCCUCUUUGAAAUAUUCUCUCCAUCCGUGUGCAUAAAUAGGUCAAGAUCUGGAGGAGAACAUUUCCUAGAAACACCUAAAACUCUCAUGAAAACUGCUCACGAGAGCCUUGAAGUCAGAGCCAACACGAAGAGCACUUCUGACCGAGAACAAGAGCCAACAAACCUGACUCUCUGCUGCAGAUGGAUGGUGAUGAUAGCAGACACACUGACCCUUGAUUGACUCGGUCACACUGGCUCAGGAGUCACGUGAUCGGCCCGAGAACAGGACCUUCUGAAGCAGAGCUGACCGCUGCUGGAGGUGCUGUGUGUGUGUUUGGUCUGUGGUUCACCUCUGAACAUCCACACAGACUCAACAACACAUGCAAAUGAGUGUGUGUGUGUGUGUGUGUGUGUGUGUGUGUGUGUGUGUGUGUGUGUGUGUGUUUAAUGAGACGUACCGUGGCUGACCUGUGUGGGAAGACAUGGAUCAGUGUCCAGAACAGACACGGACAGCAAUGGCAUCCCUGAGAUUGUGACACGUCAGCCCUGUUUAUGUCACGUAAGAUGAUUUUACAGCAACAGUUUAUCUAAAGCAGAAACUCUUCAGCAUGUCUGUAGUCAAGAGCCUUUUGAUAUUUGGAUCAUCACUACUUUCUUGUUAUCAGAUCACUUUUAAUGAUGUAAUUGUUGACCAAUAUUUUAAUGAAGGCACACUGAAGAAACAAUAUACUUGGUAUUGGGCACACAUGAUGUCUAUUCUGACUUAUGCAUUACAGGAGAGCUGGGCAAAAAGUCACUUUCCCUGCUUUUGAUUCUGGUUAAGUGUAAGUGAUAAAUAUAAUGGUUAUUGCUUGAAAACAUCACAAUCUCACAAAUACAAUUAUAAAAUUAGAAAUACUACAUUUUGAUACACGCAAAUCUUGCAUAAACAACAUGUAUAAGUUAGUAUGAUUUCUUUAGUGAGCAUGUUCUGUAGGUUAACACAGAGCAUAGAGUCUUUCUAAAGGGUUUCCAGUCUCUUCAGUGAAUCUGUGCAGUGCUGUGUUAAACAUGGACAUGGAAACAGCAGCGCUGUCUGGAGGCACUGGACACACUACACGAGGAGGAAUAUCAAGACUUUAUGAGAGAAAGGGAAAACCGGACAGUCUGAGGAAGGACUGCAGGGAAUGCUGGGCAAGAUUACAGACGCAUAUGUGUGAGAGCUGAGAGCAGAUGACAGAUCUACUGACCCCGUCAGGACCCUAUCAGACCACAUUAGACCACAUCAGCACUGAGCAGAGCUGGAUGGAUUCAGAGCUCCUCUAUGUGCUGCUAUCGGCCGACUCUCUCCUGAACCUCAUCAGUUAGAUUCUGCUUUGAAAAGCAGGAUAAUCACUCUCCAUCUUUCUCACUUAUUCCUAUAAUGCACCAUUUAUCGCUGUGACUUAAGUAAGGAGAUUACAAUGGCAACUGCAAGACUGGCAUCUAAACGAGUUAAUUUAAUCUGAAAAUGCUGCCCAGAGUAAAGUCAAUAUUAAAAACACCACAGACGUGAGCUGGUCAAACAGUGACAGUGUUAUCAGCUCCUGAUGCCACUGAGGAC
Cyprinus carpio carpio is the source of this 1854-nucleotide long non-coding RNA. NCBI's taxonomy places the organism in Eukaryota, Metazoa, Chordata, Actinopteri, Cypriniformes, Cyprinidae. The record is from Ensembl.